RNAcentral lists this ribosomal RNA (215 nucleotides) under uncultured Leptolinea sp. Its description in RNAcentral is "partial 16S ribosomal RNA". It matches the Rfam family "Bacterial small subunit ribosomal RNA", at positions 1168 to 1382 of the family's 1533-position model. Lineage: Bacteria; Bacillati; Chloroflexota; Anaerolineae; Anaerolineales; Anaerolineaceae. The record is from RNAcentral.
GGAAGGUGGGAUGAUGUCAAGUCAGCAUGGCCUUUAUAUCCUGGGCUACACACACGCUACAAUGGCCAGCACAGUAGGUUGCUAAGCCGCGAGGUGGAGCCAAUCCAUAAAGACUGGUCUCAGUUCAGAUUGCAGGCUGCAACCCGCCUGCAUGAAGAUGGAGUUGCUAGUAACCGCAGGUCAGCUAUACUGCGGUGAAUACGUUCCCGGGGCUU